UACGGAGGGAGCUAGCGUUGUUCGGAAAUACUGGGCGUAAAGCGCACGUAGGCGGCGCAGCAAGUCAGGGGUGAAAUCCCGGGGCUCAACCCCGGAACUGCCCUUGAAACUGCAGUGCUAGAAUUCUGGAGAGGCGAGUGGAAUUCCGAGUGUAGAGGUGAAAUUCGUAGAUAUUCGGAAGGACACCAGUGGCGAAGGCGACUCGCUGGACAGACAUUGACGCUGAGGUGCGAAAGCGUGGGGAGCAAACAGG
RNAcentral lists this ribosomal RNA (253 nucleotides) under uncultured bacterium. Its description in RNAcentral is "partial 16S ribosomal RNA". It matches the Rfam family "Bacterial small subunit ribosomal RNA", at positions 524 to 776 of the family's 1533-position model. The record is from RNAcentral.